RNAcentral lists this ribosomal RNA (450 nucleotides) under uncultured bacterium. RNAcentral describes it as "partial 16S ribosomal RNA". It matches the Rfam family "Bacterial small subunit ribosomal RNA", at positions 354 to 796 of the family's 1533-position model. The record is from RNAcentral.
GUGGGGAAUAUUCCGCAAUGGACGAAAGUCUGACGGAGCAACGCCGCGUGAGUGAUGAAGGUUUUCGGACUGUAAAGCUCUGUUGUUUAGGACAAAAGUGCCUGUUGCAAAUAGUUACAGGUAUUGACGGUACUGAACGAGGAAGCCACGGCUAACUACGUGCCAGCAGCCGCGGUAAUACGUAGGUGGCAAGCGUUGUCCGGAAUUAUUGGGCGUAAAGAGCAUGUAGGCGGGAAUCUAAGUCUGUUGUGAAAAUGCGGGGCUCAACCCCGUAUUGCGAUGGAAACUGGGUUUCUUGAGUGCAGGAGAGGAAAGGGGAAUUCCCAGUGUAGCGGUGAAAUGCGUAGAUAUUGGGAGGAACACCAGUGGCGAAGGCGCCUUUCUGGACUGUGUCUGACGCUGAGAUGCGAAAGCCAGGGUAGCGAACGGGAUUAGAUACCCUGGUAGUCC